AUUUGGAGAGUUUGAUCCUGGCUCAGGACGAACGCUGGCGGCGUGCCUAAUACAUGCAAGUCGAGCGGAGCUUAUCCUUCGGGAUAAGCUUAGCGGCGGACGGGUGAGUAACACGUAGGCAACCUACCCUCUAGACUGGGAUAACUACCGGAAACGGUAGCUAAUACC
RNAcentral lists this ribosomal RNA (168 nucleotides) under Paenibacillus helianthi. RNAcentral's name for it is "Paenibacillus sp. P26E partial 16S ribosomal RNA". It matches the Rfam family "Bacterial small subunit ribosomal RNA", at positions 1 to 170 of the family's 1533-position model. The record is from RNAcentral. Lineage: Bacteria; Bacillati; Bacillota; Bacilli; Caryophanales; Paenibacillaceae.